RNAcentral lists this microRNA (23 nucleotides) under Caenorhabditis brenneri. Its description in RNAcentral is "cbn-miR-35c". Its record names the gene cbn-miR-35c. Lineage: Eukaryota; Metazoa; Nematoda; Chromadorea; Rhabditida; Rhabditidae. The record is from miRBase by way of RNAcentral.
UCACCGGGCGAAAAUUUGGCACA